Anolis carolinensis (green anole) is the source of this 2231-nucleotide long non-coding RNA. The record is from Ensembl. Lineage: Eukaryota; Metazoa; Chordata; Lepidosauria; Squamata; Anolidae.
GGGAAGGGGCCAGGUAAAUGACCUUGGGGGGCCGCAUUCAACCCCCGGGCCUUAGUUUGGGGACCCCUGAUCUAGAUGCUAUUCCCCUAUUGAUGCAGGCCAGAAUCCCGUUGGCCUUUUUAGCUGCCGCAUCACAUUGUUGGCUCAUGUUUAACUUGUUCCCCACGAGGACUCCAAGGUCUUUUUCGCACACACUGCUGUCUAGCCAGGCAUCGUCCCCCAUUCUGUAUCUUUGAAUUCAAUUUUUUCUGCCAAAAUGAAGUAUCUUGCAUUUAUCCCUGUUGAAUUUCAUUUUGUUAAGUUUCGGCCCAUCUCUCUAGUCUGUCAAGAUCGUUUUGAAUUCUGCUCCUGUCUUCUGGAGUGUUGGCUCUCCCUCCCAGUUUGGUGUCUACAAACUUGAUGAUCGUGCCUUCUAACCCUUCGUCUAAGUCGUUAAUCAAGAUGUUAAAGAGAACCGGGCCCAGGAUGGAGCCCUGUGGCACUCCACUCGCUACUUCUUUCCAUGCUCAGUGUAGAUCAGCCAUGGGCAAACUUGGACCGUCCAGGUGUUUUGGACUGCAACUCACGCCAUUCCUAAUAGCCUCAGGCCCAACCAAGAACUCAUGAAGUCAUCCCUUUGACACCUGGGCAAACUGUGGCCCUCCCUCCUGAUGUUUUGGACUGCAACUCCCACCAUUCCUAACAGCCUCAGGCCCCUUCCUUUCCCCACGCAGCCGCUUAAGCGCCUGCGGGAGGAAAGGAAAGGGCCUGAGGCUGUUAGGAAUGGUGGGAGUUGCAGUCCAAAAACACCUGGACAGUCCAAGCUUGCCCAUGACUAGUGUAAAUCCAGACCAUGUCAGUCACCUAAGACCAUAAAUGGGAAUCUUCACUCUUGAUCCCCAUUGAGAAAAAGAGCAAUCUUUAGGCAGCUGCUGCAGCAUCGAUGUUACCUUGGGGUAAAAUACCAGCAUCUUUUACUUCCUUUCUCAAUGUACUCCCUUCCUAGUGAACUCACCCAAAAUAAUGUGUUAGAUGGAGGUGCCUGCUAUCAGUAGAGCCCGGAUGCAUCCCCGGCACAAAAGAAGGCGGGUGGAUUAAAACAAAGGAAGAUGCUUGCAAUCGCGCAAGCAUCAGUUGGGAUUCCUCUGCGUUCUUUGUGCUUCAUCCGUCUUCGGAGGUGCCAGGGCUUCCCUACCAGGCUGCAGCUUGCCGGCCUUUUUCUCUAGAGGAGACAAAGAAGCAGAAGCCAAACAAAGCGUUGUGGUGGGAACAGGGCGAGAGUGAGCGCACACAGAGAACACAAAGAGGAGAAAAGAGCCACUCGGAGGGCUUGGACUGAACCUUUCCUUCUUUUUUUUUUGUACAAGAUUGAUUUAUUAACUAUGAUACAUAUCAUGUAAGGCCUUUUAAGUUUUUACACCAUUCCCAAUGAGACACAUACAAGACUCUGUAGCAAAUACAUGAUUUUUUUUUCUUUUAAACUCAGCAGAAAAUGGGCUUUUUUUUCUUUGCUUGCCCAGAGCUUUCAACAUUAUCAUGCACUAAUUGGAUUGGCCUAGGAUGGGGAUGGAAAAGGGAAGGGAGGAGGGAGAGAACCACAAAAUUGUUAAAAAUGUGCUUUAAAAAGAAGCAUUUUUUUUUUUAAAAAAAGGAAACAUAUUCUAUCACCAAGAACGAAAGGAUGUUGUUAGGCUCCUAAAAAAUACAGAGAAAUAAACAUUAUACUUUACAUACAGAUCUUUUCAGGAAAAAAUAAUAAUAGUUGUACGUUUCCGUGAAGAACGUUUUGGGCACAUACUUAGCUGGAACUACGAACACAUUUUAUGACCAUUAAUAUCUUUUCUUUUCCUUCCUCUUCAAUUAAAAAAGUUAAUUCAACAUAUAUAGAGAUAAUUUUACAUGUGAAAAUACAAGUACCAAGUGGGAGGGGGAAAGAUAAGCUGAGUGCAGAACUAAAUCCGACUUUUUAGGACAAGUUUUAUUCCCAUACGAUUUCAGAAGCAGACAGGGCUCUUCUUUUUUUAAUGUACACAGGAAAAAAAUUAAGUUUUUUUUAUUUAAACAAUAACUUACGCCCUGCCUUAGACUACAUUUAAAAUACAAUAUUUCUAUUGUAUUUCAAUUUUACAAAAAAAAUAAUAAACCUGGUAAGUGGGGGUCAGCUGUAACAGUUAAAAGUAUGACCUAUGACGCAGGCAGUGAGGGGACAUGGGCCCCCAAGCCACCCCCAAACCCCACCGAAAUCUUACAGC